Molecule: small RNA, 610 nt
Filed under: Pan troglodytes (chimpanzee)
Lineage: Eukaryota; Metazoa; Chordata; Mammalia; Primates; Hominidae
Description: sense overlapping
Rfam family: SOX2 overlapping transcript exon 3 (bases 14-289)
Source: RNAcentral
CAGGGGAUUGCAGUGGCAAAGCUAGGCUAGGUCUUGGAGGCUGGUGUAAGGCGAUGCGGGUGAAGGCAGGAGGCUGAUGGAGAGACUGGGGGGAAGAAAAGCCGAAAUGGAUUCACGGUGCCUUGGAUGAAGGACGAGAGGGGAACUGCAAGCUCCUUCAACUGGUUCUGUCCGGUGAGAAGUGAUCAAGCUUGGGCUGACAAGAGGCUCAGGGAGCCCUCACGUUCUUUCGCUUUUUUACCUGCCAAUCAAACUGCUACAAGACAACACCCUGAUCUGGCAUGGACAUACACAGCCCAGGCAGACAGAAGGAAACGGAGCAUUAAUCCAACUGCAGUCACCCCAAAGUACAGGCCACUUGGAUCCAGAAGAGAAACUGGUUCCUUCUACAAGCUCUCCCGUUCUCCCUGGGGCCGUUCACAGCCCCCUUGUCUACGUUGUGGCUGUGCUUUCCCUGAUCCAACUUAGAAAUAAUGUUUCAUUCAAGAUAAGGCUCGUGGUUUAGGAGAUUGUGACCUGGCUUGCAUCAUUCUAAGACUUCUAUCGUCUGUUUUCAAAACCCAAGGAGGACCUCAUUUUCUGUGUGAUAGUUCCUCAUGCUUUGCCAGCC